UCUGUUUGAUCCUGGCGGAGGUUACUGCUAUCGAGGUUCGACUAAGCCAUGCGAGUCGAAUGUAGCAAUACAUGGCGUACUGCUCAGUAACACGUGGACAACCUACCCUUGGGACGGGGAUAAACCCGGGAAACUGGGUAUAAUACCCGAUAGGUCUCGANUGCUGGAAUGCUUCGAGAUUUAAAACUCCGGUGCCCAAGGAUGGGUCUGCGGCCUAUCAGGUUGUAGUGGGUGUAGCGUACCUACUAGCCUACGACGGGUACGGGUUGUGAGAGCAAGAGCCCGGAGAUGGAUUCUGAGACACGAAUCCAGGCCCUACGGGGUGCAGCAGGCGCGAAAACUUUACAAUGCCGGCAACGGCGAUAAGGGAACCUCGAGUGCCAGGUUACAAAUCUGGCUGUCGUGAUGCCUAAAAAGCAUUGCAUAGCAAGGGCCGGGCAAGACCGGUGCCAGCCGCCGCGGUAACACCGGCGGCUCGAGUGGUAACCGUUAUUAUUGGGUCUAAAGGGUCUGUAGCCGGCCGGGUAAGUCUCUUGGGAAAUCUGGCAGCUUAACUGUCAGGCUUUCAGGAGAUACUGCUUGGCUCGAGGCCGGGAGAGGUGAGAGGUACUUCAGGGGUAGGGGUGAAAUCUUGUAAUCCUUGAAGGACCACCAGUGGCGAAGGCGUCUCACCAGAACGGACCUGACGGCAAGGGACGAAAGCUAGGGGCACGAACCGGAUUAGAUACCCGGGUAGUCCUAGCCGUAAACGAUACUCGCUAGGUGUCGGCCACGGUGCGACCGUGGUCGGUGCCGUAGGGAAGCCGUGAAGCGAGCCACCUGGGAAGUACGGCCGCAAGGCUGAAACUUAAAGGAAUUGGCGGGGGAGCACCACAACGGGUGGAGCUUGCGGUUUAAUUGGAUUCAACGCCGGAAAUCUUACCGGGACCGACAGCAAUAUGAAGGCCAGGCUGAAGACUUUGCCGGAUUAGCUGAGAGGUGGUGCAUGGCCGUCGUCAGUUCGUACUGUGAAGCAUCCUGUUAAGUCAGGCAACGAGCGAGACCCA
Molecule: ribosomal RNA, 1046 nt
Filed under: uncultured archaeon
Lineage: Archaea
Description: bacterial SSU rRNA
Rfam family: Archaeal small subunit ribosomal RNA
Source: RNAcentral